GGGCCUGUAGCUCAAUUGGGAGAGCACCUGCUUUGCACGCAGGAGGUCGCGGGUUCGACUCCCGCCGGGUCCACCA
RNAcentral lists this transfer RNA (76 nucleotides) under marine sediment metagenome. RNAcentral describes it as "tRNA-Ala". It matches the Rfam family "tRNA". From Rfam's summary of the family: Transfer RNA (tRNA) molecules are approximately 80 nucleotides in length. The record is from RNAcentral.